Eucalyptus grandis is the source of this 2494-nucleotide RNA transcript. RefSeq lists it as uncharacterized. The record is from RefSeq and is a predicted model, not a curated record. The transcript has 5 exons. NCBI's taxonomy places the organism in Eukaryota, Viridiplantae, Streptophyta, Magnoliopsida, Myrtales, Myrtaceae.
GGAGGCAACAGCCAUGGCAGCGAUGGUUUUCAGUAAGAUUUGAACCCUGCGUGUUAUUUUCUUUUUUCUGCUUUAACAUUGAACAGCCACAAAUACCUGCCGCCAGUGUCAAUCUUACAGCCGAGACAGCAGUUAUACAGCCUCUAUUUGAAGCCAAGACUGUACAUAACCCUCGAGGUUGCUGGUUGGAUUUGAAAGAAAAAUCUCUUGUUGUAGUUUUAGAGGUUAGUCGUAUUGCUUUUUAAGUGGAUCAGAGUCGACACUCCAUGUUCAUUGGCGGAACUCACCAAGUUUGGAUUGAUACUCCUAUCUACAAAAUGGUUUUGUGUCAUCUAUUAAAAAAUUGUAGACUCUUUCAAUAGAACAGUUGACAGAACAAAUCUAGUAUGGAAAAUGUAGGGGAAGUUGUAUUUCCCAUUAUGAGCUAGUGUGGGUCCCAAGAAUUUUGUAAGUUGAUCAGUCAGGUCUAGUUUAGUGAGUGUGGGCGAUAACUGCUCUAGCAUUGUAUUUAGUUUGUAUGCUUCGGAUCAAUUAACUCUAGAAACCUAAGGUUCUCAUUUUUUCGAACAUGAGAUGUAUCUGUGCUGAAAUUUCAUUUGGUAUAUUUAUUAUCUUUGAUAUGAUUAUGUGGUGAUGAAGUAAGCAUAUUAGGUGGCCAUGUUCAUCUCCUUGCUCCCAUCCCGUGGCUCUACUCAAACUAAGAGGCUUAUAGGUAGAGUUUAGAGAGAGAAAGUGAGCUUCGAUGGAGUCAACCAUAACCAAGACUCUCUCCAUCCUCAUCUCCGUCCCCCUCAACUCCUUCGUCUUCCAUCCUUCCGCUACGUUACCCGAUCGCUGCAUACUGCAUCGCCAAUGCAAGUGGGUGUUUGGCACCAAUGAUCGCAUCACCUUUGGCAUAACCCCCGGAGGGUUGAGUGAGGCUUGGUAGGAAUUGGUAGCUAGAAAGUGCUGACCAUUAUAAGAAUUUCCUUUUUAUAUUGAGUCAACCUUGAACUUUGUGAAUUUGCUGAAGAGAUUGAGAGAGGGAGGGAAGCCUUCUGGCCUGUCUCUCUAUUUCUACCUCCCUCCCUCCCUCAUAUCAAACUGAUCUUCGGCAAAUUCACAAAGUUCAAGGUCCUGAUGACUCAAUAUAAGGAAGAAAUUGUUAUAUUGGUCAGCACUUUGCUAGCUACUAAUUCAUAUCAGGCUUCACUCAAAUCUCUGGUGGUUUAUGCCAAAAGUGAUACAAUCAUUGAUGCCAAACAUCCGUCUCGGCUAAUCGCCCACAGGCUCCGCUGCAUCUACGCCGAUCGCAUCCGCACCCCCGAGCCUCGCUCCGGCCUUGUCUGUCUCCCCCGGUUCCCACGAGGUUCCGCUUGCGAUGCGUUCCGAGCUCCGCUGCUCCUCUCGGCAGAUGUGGCGGCGGCAGAGUCGACGGUGAGGAUGGAAAGGAGAAAUCGGUCUUGGAUGGAGCCGAGGCGGCCUCAGGGGUGUUACCUCCGAUGUCAUCAUUCUCGACGGAAUGACUUGUGGGGGAUGUGCAGCGAGCUUGAAGAGAAUUCUGGAAAAUCAAGUAUCCGCCGCAAGGGUCAAUCUUACAACUGAGACAGCAAUUGUAUGGCCUGUUUCUGAAGCCAAGGCUAUACCUAAUUGGCAAAAGGAGUUGGGGAUAAACACUUGCAAAACACUUAGACAAAUUGUGGCUUAAGUCUAAGGGGUGGUUGACAAGUUCUCGGGAUACUCUUGUGGAUUUGGUUAUGAGAAGCAAGCAAUGGAUGAGGCAAUUGAGGAAAUGAAUGGACUUAUCAUUGAAGAAAAAGUUCAGCCUCAAGGUUCAGGUAGAGGCUGAGAUGGUGAUCGCAGUCGUGAUUGUGGUCAUGAUUGUGGCUCCAGUCAGGACUCUGGUGGUGGACAUGGAGGUGGAGGUGGAGAGUGCUGUAAGUGUGACAAGCCUGGGCAUUGUGCAAGGGAGUGUCCUUGUGAAGGGGGCUGGGGAGGUAGGUAUAGGGGGAGGGAUGACAGGUAUGGAGUUGGUGGUGGUGGGCACUAUGGUCCUGAUUGAAAUGGUGAUCGAUCUGGAGGGCGCAAUAGGGAUAGUGGUACUCAAGGAGGAUCAGGAAAUGCUCCUAUAAUCAGGACCGUUCUGGUCCCUAUGAACAUUGUGGUACAGGGAACUUCCGUCCGGGGUAGAAAGAUUACUACUGAUCGCUAUGCACAUGAUUUUUCAGUCAUAGUAAAGCAGUUGAUUCUGCGCUGAUUGAAAAAUUCUUUGCGCGUGUAGCAGAGCAAUUGGAGGUACUGCUGUUACUUUCUGGAGGUGUCAACGUCCCUUCUGCUGAAUCUCUUGUUUAUGAUUCUCUGGGUGGACAAAUCUGCUUGAUCAGUCUUUUGUUGUGCGAACUUUGGCUAAAAGAUUCUACUGUUUAAUAUCCACGAAUGCUUGUUUUGAUGUUAUGGUCUGACGGCGUUGGUUGCUUGACUUAAACAAUCAAAUUUGGCCUUAAGCUUUCAAUGA